RNAcentral lists this transfer RNA (72 nucleotides) under Rhodotorula toruloides. RNAcentral's name for it is "Rhodosporidium toruloides tRNA". It matches the Rfam family "tRNA". Rfam says of the family: Transfer RNA (tRNA) molecules are approximately 80 nucleotides in length. Their secondary structure includes four short double-helical elements and three loops (D, anti-codon, and T loops). Lineage: Eukaryota; Fungi; Basidiomycota; Microbotryomycetes; Sporidiobolales; Sporidiobolaceae. RNAcentral also lists the same sequence under 1 other name. The record is from Rfam by way of RNAcentral.
ACACGAUUAGUUUAACGGCUAGAACACUGUUCUUACACAACAGUAGCGUUGGUUCGACUCCAGCAUUGUGUA